CCUACGGGAGGCAGCAGUGAGGAAUAUUGGUCAAUGGCCGGAAGGCUGAACCAGCCAAGCCGCGUGAAGGACGAAGGUGCUCAGCAUUGUAAACAUCUUUUGCCAAGGGACAAAAUCAGGCUCUAGAGCCUGACCGCGGGUACUUGAAGCAAAAGCAUAGGCCAACCCCGUUCCAUCAGCCCCGGCAAUACGGGGGAUGCGAGCGUUAUCGGGAUUGAUGGGGUUUAAAGGGUGCGUAGGCGUAUUGUUAAGUCAGCGGGAAAAGCCCGGGGCUCAACCCGGGAGAGCCGGUGAAACUGGCGAUCUUGAGUUGUCGAGAGGGAGGCGGAAUGCGCGGUGUAGCGGUGAAAUGCGUAGAGAUUGGGCAGAACUCCGAUGGCGAAGGCAGCAUACCGGCGGCGAUCUGACGCUGAGGCACGAAAGCGUGGGGAUCGAACAGGAUUAGAUACCCGAGUAGUC
This 459-nucleotide ribosomal RNA is filed under the name uncultured bacterium. RNAcentral's name for it is "partial 16S ribosomal RNA". It matches the Rfam family "Bacterial small subunit ribosomal RNA", at positions 338 to 795 of the family's 1533-position model. The record is from RNAcentral.